RNAcentral lists this ribosomal RNA (1343 nucleotides) under metagenome. RNAcentral's name for it is "SSU rRNA". It matches the Rfam family "Eukaryotic small subunit ribosomal RNA", at positions 498 to 1792 of the family's 1831-position model. The record is from RNAcentral.
GGUUCCUACUAUCGGAAUGAGUACAAUUUAAAACCAUUAGCGAGGAACAAUUGGAGGGCAAGUCUGGUGCCAGCAGCCGCGGUAAUUCCAGCUCCAAGAGUGUAUAUUAAAGUUGUUGCGGUUAAAAAGCUCGUAGUUGGACUUUGGGAUUGGGCGCAACAGUCCCUGGUGGCAUUGCUGCUAGGAUCAAGGCUGAGUGUUCCUUUCUCUUUUCUGGGAAGCGUAAAACGUGGGGCAACCUGCGGUUUCUUUUGGGUUUACUUUGAAUAAAUUAGGGUGUUCAUAGCAGGCGAAAUCGUCUUGAAUACUUUAGCAUGGGAUAAUAAAAGAUGACCUAGGUCUAAAUUAUUGGUUUCUGAGGCCAGGGUAAUGAUUGAUAGGGACAGUUGGGGUCGCUUGUAUUCAGUGGUCAGAGGUGAAAUUCUAGGGCCCAUUGAGGACAAACAAAUGCGAAGGCAUUCGACAAGGAUGUUUUCAUUAAUCAAGAACGAAAGUUGUGGGAUCGAAGAUGAUCAGAUACCGUCGUAGUCACAACCGUAAACUAUGUCGACUCAGGAUCUGGGGAUGUUACAUGGAUGACUCUCCAGGCACUGUGUGCGAAAGCAUAAGUAUUCAGACUCCGGGGGGAGUAUGGUCGCAAGGCUGAAACUUAAAGGAAUUGACGGAAGGGCACCACCAGGAGUGGAACCUGCGGCUUAAUUUGACUCAACACGGGGAAACUUACCCAGUCCGGACGCAACGAGGAUUGACAGAUUGAUAGCUCUUUCUUGAUUUUGUGGAAGCCGGUGCAUGGCCGUUUUUAGUUGGUGGAGUGAUUUGUCUGGUUAAGUCCGAUAACGAACGAGACCUUAUUCUACUAAAUAGUAGUGUGGACAUGGGGGCUUCAGGUGUAUCGGGUUCGCCUGGUAUGUUUGGGGUUCCCAUUAGAUGUAAACAGAUUUACUUCUUAGAGAGACUCUUGGCAUUUUUUAGUCAAUGGAAGAUUGAGGCAAAAACAGGUCUGUGAUGCCGCUCGAUGUCUGGGGCUGCACGCGCGUUACACUGGCAUGUUCAACAAGUAUUCUAAAUUUUACCGGGCCCGAAGGGGUUUUGGCAACCAAAAAAGCAUGUCGUGAUGGGGAUUGUGCUUUGAAACUAUCGCACAUGAACGAGGAAUUCCUAGUAGGGGUAGGUCAUCAACCUGCCCCGAUUACGUCCCUGCCCUUUGUACACACCGCCCGUCGCUUCUACCGAUAGAAUCACUCGAUGAGGACUCGGGACGUGAGGGUUCCUAUUGGCCGAAAGGUUGGUGGGCCUUUGUGAAACCUGUUCGAAUCUCGUAAUUUAGAGGAAGAAGAAGUCGU